GGCCAUUGACUCGUUCAAGGGUCUCGUGAUACCUAGUCAUCAUGGUGGUUUGUGUGAGUCAUGACAAGGCUUUGGCCAUACCUCAUAAUUGGUCCGGUCGAAUUGAACUUGCACCGCUUGGGCAAAUUCUGCCCACGAGUGUGUACCCCCCCAAAUUUUGUUAAGCUCUAAUGUCAUUGUAGGGUAACCCUUUCCAGGUGGAAGGAGGCUAGUUAUAUUUGUAAGGGGUGAUCAGUCCUAUUGAAAUCGAACCGCCUUGAUAAAUACAACUAGGUGGGUCGUAUUCGUUGAAUUUAGGGAAAGGUGUACCUAUCUACACACCAUUUUGCAUAUUUACACACCAAAAAAGGUGUUUUUUGUCCUUAUAUGCACACUCUGCAGUGUCGAACUGGUGACUAUCUACACACUUGGUGUGUAGAUAGUUUGGCCCUUAGCUUGAGAUGCUAAUGGAAUAGAAUGGAAUUGGUGUUCCGCGGGAAAGUGUUGUGGUGAGAGGACUCAUCGGAGUCGUUGGUGUUAUAAGGUUGGCUAAGGGAUCGAACAACUGACAACUCUUUCAAUACGAUAUUC
Molecule: long non-coding RNA, 570 nt
Filed under: Helianthus annuus (common sunflower)
Lineage: Eukaryota; Viridiplantae; Streptophyta; Magnoliopsida; Asterales; Asteraceae
Description: sRNA HanXRQr2_Chr12g0553391
Source: RNAcentral